UACGAAGGGUGCAAGCGUUACUCGGAAUUACUGGGCGUAAAGCGUGCGUAGGUGGUUUGUUAAGUCUGUUGUGAAAGCCCCGGGCUCAACCUGGGAAUGGCAAUGGAUACUGGCAGGCUAGAGUGCGGUAGAGGGUAGUGGAAUUCCGGUGUAGCGGUGAAAUGCGUAGAGAUCGGGAGGAACACCGGUGGCGAAGCGGCGGUCUGGGUCGAUACUGACGCUGAGGUGACGAAAGGCGUGGGGAGCAAACACGG
This 254-nucleotide ribosomal RNA is filed under the name uncultured bacterium. RNAcentral describes it as "partial 16S ribosomal RNA". It matches the Rfam family "Bacterial small subunit ribosomal RNA", at positions 524 to 777 of the family's 1533-position model. The record is from RNAcentral.